CAAGUAGCUGGGACUACAGGCGCCCGCCACUACGCCCGGCUAAUUUUUUGUAUUUUUAGUAGAGACGGGGUUUCACCGUUUUAGCCGGGAUGGUCUCGAUCUCCUGACCUCGUGAUCCGCCCGCCUCGGCCUCCCAAAGUGCUGGGAUUACAGGCGUGAGCCACCGCGCCCGGCCCCUAAUCUUACCUUCUACUGCAGCCUCAGGAAACAACUAAUCUACUUUCUCUAUAGAUUUGCCUAUUGUGGAUAUGUUAUGUAAAUAAAUCAUAUAGUAUGUGGUCUUCUUUCACUUAACGUAAUCUCUUCAAUGUUCAUCCAUGUUGUAGUAUGUAUCAGCCACAUGAUUUUCAUUGCUGAAUAAUAUUUUAUCAUUUCAUUCCAUACUACAUUUUAUUUAUCCAUUCAUCAUUCAAUAAACAACUUGGGUUGUUUCAAUCAGCUUCUUUGGGUGUUAUGAGUAAUGCCACUAUGAACAUUUGUGUACAGUUCUUGAACGGACAUAAGUUUUCAAUUCUCUUGAAUAUAUGCCUAGGAGUGGAAUUGCUUGAUUAUGUGGUAACUCUAUUCUCAACUUUUUGAGGAACGAUCAAACUCUCUUCUAUAGCGAUUGCACCAUUUUCCAUCCCCACCAGCAAUACCAGCAAUAUAUGACAGUUCA
Molecule: long non-coding RNA, 658 nt
Filed under: Homo sapiens (human)
Lineage: Eukaryota; Metazoa; Chordata; Mammalia; Primates; Hominidae
Description: HSALNT0063242
Source: RNAcentral